This is a non-coding RNA of Gossypium hirsutum (cotton), 146 nucleotides long. NCBI's taxonomy places the organism in Eukaryota, Viridiplantae, Streptophyta, Magnoliopsida, Malvales, Malvaceae. The record is from Rfam.
UAUUAAAAAUUUGAUCCAUUUCUAUUGCUAAAAACUGGCAUGGCUGAUAGAAUAACCAAACAAAUGACACAUGGCAUGCCACAUGUACUUCAUGCUGAUAUAUAAGGACCAGUUUUUAACAAUAGAAAUGAAUGAAAUUUUUAACA